AUUUCUAAUGUGCUGAUUCUCCGCUGAGUACACAAUGGGAUUCACUAGAGGAAAUAGAAGAUAUCAAUGACUGUGACCCUAAUAACUAGAGGUUUACUUUUGGCAAAAUGGUGAAGGGCAGCCAAGGUGACAAUAAGUACUUGGAAGAUGAGCACAGCACAGAUGUGAGAGAUGCAACUGUUGAGGACCUUGAGGAGACCCUUGAGAAGAGAUCAUCGGAAACAGAGAUUUAACCUUAAUCAGGAGUAUACUGAGUGAGCAC
RNAcentral lists this long non-coding RNA (262 nucleotides) under Fukomys damarensis (Damara mole-rat). Its description in RNAcentral is "lncRNA (ENSFDAG00000022900.1)". Lineage: Eukaryota; Metazoa; Chordata; Mammalia; Rodentia; Bathyergidae. The record is from RNAcentral.